AACGAACGCUGGCGGCAUGCCUAACACAUGCAAGUCGAACGAGACCUUCGGGUCUAGUGGCGCACGGGUGCGUAACGCGUGGGAACCUGCCCUUAGGUUCGGAAUAACUCCCCGAAAGGGGUGCUAAUACCGGAUAAUGUCUUCGGACCAAAGAUUUAUCGCCUUUGGAUAGGCCCGCGUUGGAUUAGCUAGUUGGUAGGGUAAAAGCCUACCAAGGCGACGAUCCAUAGCUGGUCUGAGAGGAUGAUCAGCCACACUGGGACUGAGACACGGCCCAGACUCCUACGGGAGGCAGCAGUGGGGAAUAGUGGAACAUGGGCGAAAGCCUGAUCCAGCAAUGCCGCGUGAGUGAUGAAGGCAUUAGGGUUGUAAAGCUCUAUUACCCGGGAUGAUAAUGACAGUACCGGGAGAAUAAGCCCCGGCUAACUACGUG
Molecule: ribosomal RNA, 433 nt
Filed under: uncultured bacterium
Lineage: Bacteria
Description: partial 16S ribosomal RNA
Rfam family: Bacterial small subunit ribosomal RNA
Source: RNAcentral